UGUAACAGCAUAGGUUUAUCUUUUGCAAAUGUCAUGUGCAAGAAACCUACCAUAAAUGAACUGACCAAUAUUCAUAUUUACUUUCUUUUUAGAUGAGUCAACACCACACAGGCAACCAGCUCAUUGCCCAGAGCUGGAUAGGUCUAUUAUAACGCCUGCCACUUCAUCUUGGGACCCAGUUGAAGCACAAGUGACUCAUCACACAGAGGGAGGUGGCUUGGCCAUGGAGAAGGAAAUAAGAGCAAUAAGGACAACCAUUACCACAUGGCACAGCGAAUGGACACAUUUGAGGAGAAGAUGGAUGAGCUGCUCAUGCUCUUAAGGAGCUCCCAG
Molecule: long non-coding RNA, 333 nt
Organism: Alosa sapidissima (American shad)
Lineage: Eukaryota; Metazoa; Chordata; Actinopteri; Clupeiformes; Clupeidae
Exons: 3
Source: RefSeq, a predicted model, not a curated record